GGGAGGUUGAGAGAUUGCUUUGAGAAUUUAAGUAUAAUUACAUUUAUGUCCAACCAGAACGUAUAAGUUUCCAUGACACAGUAUUUAUUUUUUUUUUCCUUCCCCUUCUCAAGGAAAAAAGAAAUUGUUCCUAAGGCGGAGCAAGCGGAAACCAAUACAAUUAAAUACUUUGCUUUGCCUGCCAAGGACAUUUGACUGCUACUGUGCUACAUCAGGUAUGUAAUGAAAGGCAAAUGACAACGAAUCUUAAUGUGGCGGGGAGCUUGGGUAACUGUAGUUUUAUGUCAGGGAUAGCUUGCUAGAGAAAAGCUGCAUUGUAUCUAGGAUUAGCAGAACUGCAGGAUUUCAUUAAUGACCGAACAGCUUCUUAGCAAAACAAAGAUAGUUAGGGAGUAAAAAGAGAACAUGACUAGAAUGUGUACCACUAAUUGGAAAUGUAUAUUAUCUUCAUUUUGGUUGGGAGGAGGCGCAGGGGUGCUCUGCAUUGUCAUCUGGAUAACGUCAGUCUGUAGAAAAGUUCUCCCCAAAUUGGGAUGCUGGAUACGAGGCAGCAACAGUUGGAGAUGCCCAGGUUUGAAGGAGACACAUUUAACAGGAGGCACGCUGGAGUCAGCCCAGAGUAGCAGAGCUGAGUUGGACUCCAGCAGAACUUUCCAUUUCAUACCAGGGGCUGGAACUGAAAUGACUAUCUGUGAUUCUCCACUUCCCGGACUUCACACCUCCCCUUCACAGCUUUUUUUAGAGCUAAGCAUCACGUGUACCCUUCAUAGUUGUUUCUUUUCUCAUCCUCCACAUACUCUCAAAGAUAGCUGCUAACAUUACAGAGAUUACAUCAAGCAAUCUGUAGCUAACAAUGGGUGAAGUUCAUUGGGCCACCUGAAUUUCAGACAUUGAACUUUCCAGCAUCGCCCUGCCUCAUUCAAGGCUGCUAGCUGCUCUUUUGCCAGAAGCACUGAAUGUGAGGAACGCAUGCUCACGCGCUUUGAAACCCAUGGGAAAACAAAAAGAGGCACUAAGUUCCCAUUUUUAACCAUUACAAAAUGAUACUGCACAGAAUAAUCCAGACUGGACAUCAGCUAGUACACAAGUGUUAGAGAGGGUCUUAGGAAUGUUUCAGAACCUCUGUGUACUCACAGCUGCAAUUUCAAGUGAUUGGCAGUUCAACUUUGGAUGCUUGUAAGCGUGCCAUAACAAAACCUGAGCAUCCUGAAACUGUCCCAUCUGGACUACAUAAUGCUAUUCAAAAUAUAAAACCUAUGGACACAUCAAGACAGCCAGAAGUUCUUUAGAGGCUUAGAAGCAAUGGGAACUGAGGAAACAACCAAUUGGCAGGACAGGACUAAUCCAGACAAGGUAAUCCUCAGUUAUCAGGCUCUGAAACAUGGAAAUUUCCAUCCGUGGGACAGCAAGCAUCUCUGUGCCGAGUUUGUCACACAUCAGCAGUGGAACUGGAGAGCAAGAACAACCAAAUUCAAAGCCCCCUUUGAUCAGUGUCCCCAUCCUGCAAAUAGGCAGUAACAACUUGUAUAACGAAAAAGAGCUCACUUGGUUUUGCACUGUUAUUUGAGAAAUAAAUACAUAAAUAAAUAAAUACUUGCCUGUAGG
Long non-coding RNA from Phasianus colchicus (ring-necked pheasant), 1605 nucleotides. Lineage: Eukaryota; Metazoa; Chordata; Aves; Galliformes; Phasianidae. The record is from Ensembl.